CAUGAGAGGAGAGUGCGUAAACUGAGGCGAGGAGUUGUUCAACCCUGAAGAACUUUGUCCUGACAAGGCCUCUCCACCACUUGAAGGAGAUUGCGGGGUUUUGGGAGGUCCACCUUGGGGAAAUGAGGUAGGAAGCUUGACUGCAAUGUGGAUAAGCAUAGCAACUAUUUGGUUUGGGGGAGGAGGUAAAGAGAGUAGCUCAACCACUGCAGUUUCUAGUAACAACUGAUUGUAGGAACCUGGAUCUUGAUGCAGGUAGAAAGCCUUGUUUACUUCUGUAGUAUUGUUGGCAGUACUAGCAGCAGCUUGGUUCCUAUUCAACACAAAGCGGGACGAUAAAAGACCAUCACCACCUGUCGCGCUUGUUCCUGGCUUGCCAUGCAAAGGUGGUAUGACAUUGUUAACCAGACCCACGAGUAGGUUGUGGAAGUACUCGUAUGAGGGACUGCUUCCUGUGUUGAAUGCCUUGAUUUGCUGAAGAAAAGUCUCAGAAAAAGGUAUCUGCAGGACGAUCGCAACGGCCAUUGUAGUUACAAGCCAUAAGAUACUUAUUAUAAAACAACACCAUCAAAGGACAUGUCUAAAAUAAUAUCUAUGAUCAUAGCCCAAUUGGAACGCUAACGGGGAAGCAAUUCAAACCUUGGGUAGGUCCAGACUGCCGAGAAGGCGACGCACAAGCUUAGUCGGCAGAUGCCCAUAAAAGUAAGCAAGUGUAUCCCGGACAAAGGAGAAACGGGUUGGAUGAUAGAAAAUG
This 754-nucleotide long non-coding RNA is filed under the name Physcomitrium patens. RNAcentral describes it as "long non-coding RNA (PPAT_LNC014729)". Lineage: Eukaryota; Viridiplantae; Streptophyta; Bryopsida; Funariales; Funariaceae. The record is from RNAcentral.